This is a long non-coding RNA of Apis mellifera (honey bee), 354 nucleotides long. RefSeq lists it as uncharacterized. The record is from RefSeq and is a predicted model, not a curated record. NCBI's taxonomy places the organism in Eukaryota, Metazoa, Arthropoda, Insecta, Hymenoptera, Apidae. The transcript has 2 exons.
UCAUAACUCCGACUCGCCGAUCCGGAAUGCAGGAGUUCUGACAGGAUAUUCCCAGGCUACGUCCAGGAUGUUCCCAGAAUGGAAAUGUAGCCAUUUCAGUAGUCCAUGAGAGAUUCGAAAUCGAUCAAUCUUGUUCGAAGUAUAUAGCGUUUUCUUAGGUGGUGAUCAAUAGAAAAUUUUUUAACCAUAUGGAGAUAUAUAUUUGAGAAGAUUAGAUUUUUGUAAAUUUUUGUGAUCUUAUAAAAAUUAUAUUUAGCUUUGAUAAGAUUUUUGUUAAAUUAAUGUGAUAAAUUAGAAAUAAGUUGUUCUAGUAGUAAUGGAAGUGGGUCAAAAUAUAUAUAAUACAACCCAGAA